AUGAUCGGAGACACUACCGCGUCUCCUAAUACAGCUUCCGCGUGACAUCCCUGUCAUUGCAAUUGAUGAUAAUGAUGAGGUUCGCGUUGCGAGUCCGUCAUCUCUUUGGGCACUAUAGUCUCAUUAGUUUCUGUAUCGUCGAACGAAGAAGUGUGAGAGGAAGAGCCAGUGAUAGAAAAAGAGGAGGCGGAAGAAAAAGAGACGGAAGAAGAGGAGGAAGACAUGGAAAAUGAUAAUGAUAAUGAUAAUG
Molecule: long non-coding RNA, 250 nt
Organism: Cyphomyrmex costatus
Lineage: Eukaryota; Metazoa; Arthropoda; Insecta; Hymenoptera; Formicidae
Exons: 3
Source: RefSeq, a predicted model, not a curated record